RNAcentral lists this long non-coding RNA (6053 nucleotides) under Lactuca sativa (garden lettuce). RNAcentral describes it as "long non-coding RNA (LSAT_LNC003551)". The record is from RNAcentral. Lineage: Eukaryota; Viridiplantae; Streptophyta; Magnoliopsida; Asterales; Asteraceae.
UUAAAAAUAAUAAUAUUAAAAUUAAAGUCAAAAUUAGCCGACGAAGUCUAAACGAAAGUUGUAGAGCAUAAUUCUAGCUUCGCGUGCAUAUAAAGAACGUCAAAAACGGAGCUCGUAUGCGAAAGUUAUGGAUUUUAGAAGUUUUUUCACAUUUUUCGAGAAAAUUCGUAUGAAUAGUGAAAUGCCACGUCACCCUCGUAUGCGAGGCUUCCACGUGUCGGACAGAUGUUCGCUUCUGAUUGGACCGCAGCCUUGCGUGUUGCCUUCUGAUUGGACCAAGCCGAGGACCACUUAGCCCGGAACACCUUCGCAUGUGACACCCCCUUGAUCACCCUCGCAUGCGAGACCCACGUGCGAGCCACCUGCUGUCCGAGCCGAAGACCGAGCCGAAGACCCAGCCGAUGACGCGCCUGAAGCUGAUGACUCCUCGCAUCCGAGCCUCGCUGGAGCCCUGCGAAGCUGCCAUCUGGUCUGAGCCUCGCAGCCACCUGUCUCCUUCCCUUCGCUUCGGAUCCGAAGCUCAGCCCUAUAUAAGGGGUGCGAGCCCUCUCGGCUAGUUUUAGAAAUUUGGCAUUUUCACUCCCUCUUUCAAUAUUUUUACGAUCCCGACAUCCCGCAAAGCCCCAAUACUGAUUCUAAAGCCCAAAACAAGCCCCGACNAGUAUUGUCCUCUAGACAUGAGGAGGAGAUUGGAGAAGGAAUUCCUCGAGCUUAAACAAGGAGGAAUGACUGUGAAUGAGUAUGAAACUCAGUUUAAUCAAAGAGCAAGGUUUGCUACAAAGUAUAUUCCAACUGAAGACGAGAAAAUUCAGUUAUUCAUGGAGGGACUACGACACGAAAUCCACGAUUUCGUUGCCAAUCGAGAAGUUCUGUCAUUCGAUAAAGCCGUUGAAUAUGCUCGAAGACGUGAGCAUGACUUAGAAAUACGUGGUGCCACUGUUACUGCUCCGAAGCAUCCACGUACUGAAAGAACUGUUCCUUCUUUUCUACCAGCUCAAUCCGUUCGGACUGAGCCUGGUAAUCAAGUUCAAACUCAAAGUGUCUCUCGUGGACGCGGUAGAUCACAAUAUUUUUCUAUGCAAUCGCCUUCAUGUCGUAUUUGUGGAAGGAAUCAUCCGGGCCAAUGCAAAAUAGACAAGGAAUCCAUUGUCUGUUAUGGAUGCGGAGAAAAGGGUCAUAUAAAGCCAGCUUGCCCAAGAAAGGAUGUUACUUGCUAUGCAUGUGGUAUUACUGGCCACAAGAAGCGUUUUUGCCCUACUCUUACUAGUCAGAUGACGGGAAGUCAAGCUUCUGUUCAACAACCGGCGAGAAGCCAAGUCCCUGUUCAACAAUCAAAGGGUACUCCAACUAAAAAGGAGGAGGUGCCGAAAGCUAGGGGUCGUGCAUUCCAGAUUACCUCAGAGGAGGCACGCGAGGACCCGAAUGUUGUGACGGGUACAUUUCUUGUCAACUCUAGACCUGCUCACAUCUUAUUUGAUUCUGGUGCCUCAGAUUCUUUUGUGUCUUACGAAUUUGCGCAUUCCUUUCAAAUUGCUUGCUUUGUACUCGCGCAACCAUUUCACGUAGAUACUGCGGGAAGUAUAUCAUUACUUGCUGAUAAAGUCUAUAGGGAUUGUGUUAUAGAAAUUGAAGGCUAUACUUUUCUCGCUAACCUGAUCCCUAUCUCCUUGCCCAACUUUGAUAUUAUUCUCGGCAUGGAUUGGUUAUCAAAGAACCACGCAGAACUCUUGUGCUAUGAAAAGAUAGUACGCAUUCCUAUUGAAGGGGAGAAUCCUAUCUAUGUCAACGGUGAACAAAGCCUCUUAAAAAUAAUCUCUUUCCUUAAAGCUCGUAAAUUCAUAUCGAAAGGAUGUUCUAUCUAUCUGGCCUACACAGUUGACAUCUCAAAAGAGGAGAAGAAAACUGUAAAUGAUGUUGUCGUUGUUAACAAAUAUCCUGACGUUUUCCCCGAUGACUUUCCUGGCCUUCCUCCGGAUAGGCAAGUAGAAUUCCGAAUUGACCUUGUGCAUGGUGCUGCUCCAAUUGCAAAGACUCCUUAUCGUCUUGCGCCAGCUGAGAUGAAAGAAAUGAUGAUCCAACUGCAAGAACUACUUGACAAGGGUUUCAUUCGACCGAGUACCUCUCCCUGGGGUGCUCCGGUACUAUUUGUCAAGAAGAAAGAUGGAUCGAUGCGGAUGUGCAUUGAUUAUCGUGAGCUGAAUAAGGUGACUAUCAAGAACAAGUACCCACUACCUCGCAUCGACGAUUUGUUCGAUCAACUUCAGGGUGUUAGCUAUUUCUCAAAAAUUGAUUUAAGAUCUGGCUAUCAUCAGUUGAAAGUUCACGAGCAAGAUGUACCGAAGACUGCUUUUCGUACUCGAUAUGGGCAUUAUGAAUUCCUUGUUAUGCCGUUUGGUUUAACAAACGCUCCGGCUGUAUUCAUGGAUAUGAUGAAUCGGGUAUGCCGCCCAAUGCUCGAUAAAUCAGUCAUCGUAUUCAUUGAUGAUAUUCUAAUCUAUUCCAAGUCUGAAGCUGAUCAUGCCAUUCAUAUUCGUGCGGUAUUGGAACUUCUUCGAAAGGAGAAACUAUAUGCUAAAUUCUCGAAAUGUGAAUUUUGGCUUCGCCAAGUUCAAUUUCUCGGCCAUGUUAUUUCUAGUGAUGGUGUAUCCGUAGAUCCUAUCAAAAUCGAAGCCAUUCAAAAUUGGGAAGUGCCCCGUAAUGCUUCCGAAAUUCGUAGUUUCUUAGGUCUCGCGGGAUAUUACCGGAGAUUCAUUAAAGACUUUUCUCGUAUAGCCGUACCUCUCACGAGUCUUACACGGAAAGAAGUGAAGUUCGAAUGGGGUGAAACCCAAGAAAGAGCUUUCUCAACUCUAAAAGAUCUUUUGACUCAUGCUCCAAUCUUAUCACUCCCAGAAGGUGAUGAUGAUUUCUCCGUAUAUAGCGAUGCUUCAAGAUUGGGACUCGGUUGUGUGUUGAUGCAACGUGGCAAAGUGAUAGCCUAUGCCUCAAGACAACUGAAAGAUUAUGAAAAGAAUUAUCCCACUCAUGAUCUCGAACUCGCUGCAGUGGUAUUUGCCCUAAAACUUUGGAGGCAUUAUCUUUUUGGUACAAAGUGCCAAUUAUUUACCGACCACAAAAGUCUCAAGUACAUAUUCAGUCAGCAAACUUUGAAUAUGAGACAACAACGAGCCAUGGAGCUGAUCAAAGAUUAUGAUUGUGAAAUCCUAUAUCAUCCUGGAAAAGCUAACGUGGUUGCUGAUGCACUUAGCAGAAAAGUUUAUCGCAAUAGUAUGUGUUAUGCCAUUACUCAUACUACAGUAAAAUUCACUAUUUUAGAUGAAUUAGAGAAAUGGCAAGAAGAGGCCCUAAAGCCAGAAAAUGUGAAGAAAGAAGGGAUGAUACAUUAUAAUGAUGCUCUACUUGAUGAUCCGCGAGGAUUAAAAGUAUUCAAGAAUCGGCUGUGGAUUCCAAAGAUCGGUGGAUUGAGACAGAAGAUUUUAGAUGAAGCCCAUAAAUCUAAACUGUCAAUCCAUCCUGGUACAAGUAAAAUGUACUAUGAUGUAAGAGCUGAUUAUUGGUGGCCUGGAUUAAAGAAAGACAUUGGAAGAUAUGUACAAGAAUGCUUAGUAUGCUUACAAGUCAAAGCAGAGCACCAAAAGCCUUAUGGAACCCCAGAAAGUCUUAGUGUUCCUGUAUGGAAAUGGGAGGAAUUGUCCAUGGAUUUCAUUACCAAAUUGCCAAAGACUGCUAGACAGCAUGAUAGCAUUUGGGUAAUUGUCGACCGCCUGACUAAAAGCGCUCAUUUUCUUGCCAUGCGUGAAACGGCCCCAAUGGAGAAAUACGCACAAGUAUACUUGGAUGAAAUUGUGGCAAGACAUGGUGUGCCACUAAAGAUCAUCUCCGAUCGUGAUACUCGCUUCACUUCUCACUUUUGGGCGAGUAUGCAACGUGAAUUAGGAUCUCGAGUUGCUCUCAGCACAGCAUAUCAUCCCCAGACAGAUGGUCAAACGGAGAGAACAAUCCAAACAGUAGAAGAUAUGCUUCGUGCAUGUGUCUUGGAGUUCGGUGGUAACUGGGAUAAAUACUUACCUCUUGUCGAAUUCUCGUAUAAUAAUAGUUACCACGCUUCAAUCAAAAUGCCACCAUACGAAGCAUUAUAUGGUCGCAAGUGUCGUACUCCAUUAUGUUGGCGAGACAUAGGACAGAAGAUCCUUGGAGGCCCUGAAAUGAUUCAAGACACCACCGACAAAAUUCAAAUCGUACGAGAAAGAAUGAAAGCGGCCCAGGAUCGACAGAAGUCCUAUACAGAAAAGAGAAGACGACCCAUAGAAUUCCAAGUGGGUGAUUUCGUGAUGCUGAAGGUAUCUCCAUGGAAAGGCCUUAUGAGAUUCGGGAAGAAAGGAAAGUUAAGUCCUAGAUUUGUUGGUCCUUUCAAAAUCAUCCAGAGAAUUGGAAAGCAAGCAUACCGCUUAGAAUUACCAGAAGAUUUGGCAGGUAUUCAUGAUGUGUUUCAUGUGAGCUAUCUGCGCAAAUGCUUGAGCAUCAAUGAUGAGACAGUUCCAUUAUCUGAAGUGAAAUUGGAUAAUAAGUUAAGAUAUGUAGAAGAGCCGGAAGAGAUCGUGAAUGAAAGAACAACUAAUCUACGUAAUAAAGAAGUGGAGUUGGUGCUUGUCAAGUGGAAACACCAUCGAGGCCCAAAUUAUACUUGGGAAAAUAAGAAUGAGAUAAGAGCAAAAUAUCCCCAUUUAUUUUAAUCGAUGUAAUUUCGGGGACGAAAUCCUCAAAAGGAGGAGGUAUUUGUAACAUACACGUUUUGAAAUCGUGUUUUAAGUAAAUAAUAUUAUGAAAUAUUAUGUGAAUUUGAAUGUUGAGUUCUAACAGAUAGUUUUUACUAGAAUUGAAGUAAAACUAUGCUUAGAAUCAUUCAAAAAGUAUUGGAAGUCUUAUGAGAUUCCAAUUAAAAGCCAAAUAGUGAAAUAUAGCGAAAAUAUAAAAUCUGGAAUAAGUAAAAUUUUAUUAUUGAAAGUUAUAGAUAAUCUCGUUAGAAACAUUUAGGCGAAAACCUCAUCGAAAUCCGAGUUAUAACGAAGAAGUUAUGACCAAACGAAGAUCCGUGAUAAAUCCGGAAAAUACCUUGUCGCGUAAAAAUUUAGUUUUCGAUAAACUAAUUUUUAGCCUUAGUGAUGUAAAUGAAAGUUGUAGAACUCGUGAAAAUAAUCAACUUUCAUAUAAAGACCGUUUGAAUCUGACUUCGUAUGAGGAAGUUAUGAUUUUUCGAAGUUUCAGCUUAGCAGUAGACAGCUAAAAACUCGAAUUUUAGAUCGAGUGAUUUUUAGCCGACACAACCUAAACGAGGAUUGAAGGUCUCGUCAUUAGUAGUGCAACGGUAAAAAGUCUGACGAAAACGGACGUCGGAUGAAGAAGUUAUGAAUUUUUAACGGAUUUUCCUGUCCCGGUCUGUUAAAAAUAAUAAUAUUAAAAUUAAAGUCAAAAUUAGCCGACGAAGUCUAAACGAAAGUUGUAGAGCAUAAUUUUAGCUUCGCGUGCAUAUAAAGAACGUCAAAAACGGAGCUCGUAUGCGAAAGUUAUGGAUUUUAGAAGUUUUUGCACAUUUUUCGAGAAAAUUCGUAUGAAUAGUGAAAUGCCACGUCACCCUCGUAUGCGAGGCUUCCACGUGUCGGACAGAUGUUCGCUUCUGAUUGGACCGCAGCCUUGCGUGUUGCCUUCUGAUUGGACCAAGCCGAGGACCACUUAGCCCGGAACACCUUCGCAUGUGACACCCCCUUGAUCACCCUCGCAUGCGAGACCCACGUGCGAGCCACCUGCUGUCCGAGCCGAAGACCCAGCCGAUGACGCGCCUGAAGCUGAUGACUCCUCGCAUCCGAGCCUCGCUGGAGCCCUGCGAAGCUGCCAUCUGGUCCGAACCUCGCAGCCGCCUGUCUCCUUCCCUUCGCUUCGGAUCCGAAGCUCAGCCCUAUAUAAGGGGUGCGAGCCCUCUCGGCUAGUUUUAGAAAUUUGGCAUUUUCACCCCCUCUUUCAAUAUUUUUACGAUCCCGACAUCCCCCAAAGCCCCG